This 253-nucleotide ribosomal RNA is filed under the name uncultured bacterium. RNAcentral's name for it is "partial 16S ribosomal RNA". It matches the Rfam family "Bacterial small subunit ribosomal RNA", at positions 524 to 776 of the family's 1533-position model. The record is from RNAcentral.
UACGGAGGGGGCUAGCGUUGUUCGGAAUUACUGGGCGUAAAGCGCACGUAGGCGGCUUUGUAAGUUAGAGGUGAAAGCCCGGAGCUCAACUUCGGAAUUGCCUUUAAGACUGCAUCGCUUGAAUCAUGGAGAGGUCAGUGGAAUUCCGAGUGUAGAGGUGAAAUUCGUAGAUAUUCGGAAAAACACCAGUGGCGAAGGCGACCACCUGGACUGAUACUGACACUGAGGUGCGAAAGCGUGGGGAGCAAACAGG